UUACCACCCUAAAAAUAAAAGUUAGCUAUAUAUUUGAAAAAUCAAUACAAGGGCAAACAAAAAAGCUGGCAAGAUCAUAAAGGUAACCUCCAUAAUUAAAUCAAAAAGAAGAAACCAUUCAGAAUUGGUAUAAAUUUAUUUGUUACUGAUGCAGAUCGUCUUAUCCAGUGAGCUCUAAAAUACUUUUCUUGACUGUACCAAGUAGGAAAAGUCAUUUAGCAGAUUUGUAUUAACAUUUAAACAAAAAAUUAAAUUUUUUAUUAAAAAUGUUAUUUUUCAUCGGCAGUAAUUCCGCGAGCUCCCGCACUUAAGAGUCAAAGUAGAGUGAAAAAAAAUUUUACACAAUAUCACCUCGUUCGGUUCACCACUAUAUAAAGCUUUUGUAACAUACCUGACAGCGAGCACAGACAUCAACAUUAUCGCAAAGGAUAUCAACAAGUUUACCCUUUCCUUCGUCACCCCAUUGACUGCCAAGGACGACGGUUAUUCUGUGUGAAUAGUAAAUUCUUCUCAAAGAAUUUUCUUACCCAUCAUUGGAAACAUUUACACCAGUUUCUCGCACUGAAGCCAUAUUUUUCUUCUAUGUUUUUAUUAGAUCUCCGUUUUGGUGAUGCUGAAAACGGUAAGUACGGUUAGCCGCUGCCUUGUGUAGUCAUUCUUGAUCACCACUAAGAUCAAGGUUAUUUUUCCACUUAACGUUACGAUAUAGCAAAAUUAGCGGUUAAACAGUAUAAUUUAUGAC
Molecule: non-coding RNA, 742 nt
Organism: Schizosaccharomyces pombe (fission yeast)
Lineage: Eukaryota; Fungi; Ascomycota; Schizosaccharomycetes; Schizosaccharomycetales; Schizosaccharomycetaceae
Source: the annotation of a GenBank genome assembly